GACGAACGCUGGCGGCGUGCCUAAUACAUGCAAGUCGAGCGAAGUUUUUCUGGUGCUUGCACUAGAAAAACUUAGCGGCGAACGGGUGAGUAACACGUAAAGAACCUGCCUCAUAGACUGGGACAACUAUUGGAAACGAUAGCUAAUACCGGAUAACAGUAUUUCUCGCAUGAGAGAUAUUUAAAAGUUGGUUAUGCUAACACUAUGAGAUGGCUUUGCGGUGCAUUAGCUAGUUGGUGGGGUAAAGGCCCACCAAGGCGACGAUGCAUAGCCGACCUGAGAGGGUGAUCGGCCACACUGGGACUGAGACACGGCCCAGACUCCUACGCGAGGCAGCAGUAGGGAAUCUUCCGCAAUGGGCGAAAGCCUGACGGAGCAACGCCGCGUGAGUGAAGAAGGAUUUCGGUUCGUAAAGCUCUGUUGUUAGGGAAGAAUGGAUAUGUAGUAACUAUACAUGUAAGAGACGGUACCUAACCAGAAAGCCACGGCUAACUACGUG
This 499-nucleotide ribosomal RNA is filed under the name uncultured bacterium. Its description in RNAcentral is "partial 16S ribosomal RNA". It matches the Rfam family "Bacterial small subunit ribosomal RNA", at positions 28 to 507 of the family's 1533-position model. The record is from RNAcentral.